This 494-nucleotide ribosomal RNA is filed under the name uncultured bacterium. RNAcentral describes it as "partial 16S ribosomal RNA". It matches the Rfam family "Bacterial small subunit ribosomal RNA", at positions 28 to 507 of the family's 1533-position model. The record is from RNAcentral.
GACGAACGCUGGCGGCGUGCUUAACACAUGCAAGUCGAACGGUGAAGCGCCUUCCUUUUUGGUGGGUGUGGAUGAGUGGCGAACGGGUGAGUAACACGUGAGUAACCUGCCCCCUUCUUCUGGAUAACCGCAUGAAAGUGUGGCUAAUACGGGAUAUUCUGGGUCUGUCGCAUGAUGGGUCUGGGAAAGAUAUUGUUUCGGUGGGGGAUGGGCUCGCGGCCUAUCAGCUUGUUGGUGGGGUGAUGGCCUACCAAGGCGGUGACGGGUAGCCGGCCUGAGAGGGUGGACGGUCACACUGGGGCUGAGACACGGCCCAGACUCCUACGGGAGGCAGCAGUGGGGAAUAUUGCACAAUGGGCGCAAGCCUGAUGCAGCGACGCCGCGUGAGGGAUGGAGGCCUUCGGGUUGUGAACCUCUUUCGCCAGUGAAGCAGGCCUGCCUCGUUUGUGGGUGGGUUGACGGUAGCUGGAUAAGAAGCGCCAGCUAACUACGUG